CAGGGACGGACUGGGAAUAAAACCCGGCCCAAAGCAAUCGGCUAAUUUUGGACUGAUACUGAGACUAAGAUCUCUGCAUGUAAAGGCCAGCAGAUGGCACCCAACCAAUCCAACAAAGACUUUUCCAGUAGAGGACAGAGCCUCAUAGAGCUUCAUACUGGCUCUGCUGCCCAUCAGAUGCACCAUAAAUGGCCUCCAUCUGCUGGACACUUUCCCCUGCUGACGUGCCUGUGUGUGUGUGUGUGUGUGUGUGUGUGAUGAGUGUGAGAGGAGCUUCUUUUGCCAUGCAAAUGAUGUCUGUCAUCAGAGAAGAGCUCAGGUGCAUCUUUCACCCGUGAUGCUCUUCAUGCAGAUUAUGACCUCCAUCUCUGAUUUUUCU
Long non-coding RNA from Carassius gibelio (silver crucian carp), 379 nucleotides. RefSeq lists it as uncharacterized. The transcript has 3 exons. Lineage: Eukaryota; Metazoa; Chordata; Actinopteri; Cypriniformes; Cyprinidae. The record is from RefSeq and is a predicted model, not a curated record.